GAAGCCAGUGUUAACGCAGGCUGCCUGGCACCCUGAUUUCCAGCCAGAGUUGAUGAAGACUGCUUGGAAUGAAGACUAAUCCAGACCACUGUGUACUUAGCGAGCACGAUUAUUUAGGAAAAUAAGAAGCAGCCAUCAGAUGACCAAAAUUAGACUGUCAUUCUCCCAGGCUCCACCUGCACCCAGACUGCAGUCGCAAGGAUUCUCCACUCCAUGGCUGGUUGUGUCACUGCUAGUCGACAGCUGUCCCGCAUCCAGAAAGGACUGGGAUUGAUUUAGCCUUUACUCCUGCAGGUAGAGCAGCGUGGCGUAAAAAGCCCCAAACUGUGCACACGCGUGCGUGUGGGUGACCAGCCGUGCCCCAUCAGAAGCAGUUUGGUGACCAGGCUCCAAGCAGUACCUGCUCAGCUGAAUAUGCACGCUAGAAGCCAUCGUGUACAAUCAGACUGCAUCUUGGCUCCUGGCUAAACAAAGGUUGUACUGAAAUCACAUGCUUCCAAGGACUGAGGAAUGCUAAUUCUCAACUGCAAAUAUUGACUUACAGACCAUAUAGCAAAGAAUAAGCAAACAAAGGGUUGUGGAGAAAUGGACGAAACUCUUUAUGAAAAAAAGCCAAUCAAAACCCUAUAUGGUUGGGCUGGGGAUUUAGCUCAGUGGUGCCACCGCCUGCCUUGCAAGGACAAGGUCCCGAGUUCGAUCCCCAGUACCAAAAACAAAACAAAACAAAAACCCUAUAUGGCUAAUACAUUUCAGUUAAUUUGAGAUACUUGCUCAGAAGAAGAAGGCAAACAUUUUAUUUUCCUUUUACAUUUUGGAAAGAGAAGCCAGUGAGGAUGUGGCUUUCAAUGCCUAUAAUAGGUUAAAUUUUAAAUGUCUCCCAGAAGUUAUUUUGUUAAAGAACUGUCCACAGCUGAUGGUACUACUGUAUUAGGAGGUAGUGAAACCUUUAGGAGGUGGGGACUAGUGGCAGGAAGUAAGGUCAUUGGGGGUGUGGCCUUGUAGGGGAUAUUGGGACCUUGGCCACUUCCUCUCUUUUUCUUCUUCCUGGCUGUCAUGAUGGGGGUAGCUGUUCUUCCACUCUGUGUGCUGCCUGCCUGGUCACAGGCCCAACGUGACAAGUCCAAGUGACCAUGGACUGAUACCUUUAACACUAUGAGCCAACAUAGAUACUUUCUCCUUUUAAAUUGUUUGCCUUGGGUAUUUGUCACAGCUGUGAUAACACAAUGCCAUUGCUAGAAAUCUCUUUUCAGUUUGGAUUUGGGGAAAAAUUAUCUUCCCAGGCUCUGAAUUCUCCAUUUUAAUUUUUUA
Fukomys damarensis (Damara mole-rat) is the source of this 1308-nucleotide long non-coding RNA. RefSeq lists it as uncharacterized. The record is from RefSeq and is a predicted model, not a curated record. Lineage: Eukaryota; Metazoa; Chordata; Mammalia; Rodentia; Bathyergidae. The transcript is spliced from 3 exons.